GACAGAGGGUGCAAACGUUGCUCGGAAUUACUGGGCGUAAAGCGCGUGUAGGCGGACCGAUAAGUCAGGUGUGAAAUCCCCAGGCUCAACCUGGGAACUGCGUCUGAUACUGGAUGGCUUGAAUCCGGGAGAGGGAUGCAGAAUUCCAGGUGUAGCGGUGAAAUGCGUAGAUAUCUGGAGGAAUACCGGUGGCGAAGGCGGCAUCCUGGACCGGCAUUGACGCUGAGGAGCGAAUGCUAGGGGAGCAAACGGG
RNAcentral lists this ribosomal RNA (253 nucleotides) under uncultured bacterium. RNAcentral describes it as "partial 16S ribosomal RNA". It matches the Rfam family "Bacterial small subunit ribosomal RNA", at positions 524 to 776 of the family's 1533-position model. The record is from RNAcentral.